AUCACUUCUCGACAUUUUGGCUAAGAUCAAGCAUAGUAUUUGUUCUUAUUAGUUUAAACCACUGAUAUCUAGAAUAAAGGACUCUAAAAACUCAAC
This is a small nuclear RNA of 96 nucleotides. Its record names the gene U2. It matches the Rfam family "U2 spliceosomal RNA". Rfam says of the family: U2 is a small nuclear RNA (snRNA) component of the spliceosome (involved in pre-mRNA splicing). Complementary binding between U2 snRNA (in an area lying towards the 5' end but 3' to hairpin I) and the branchpoint sequence (BPS) of the intron results the bulging out of an unpaired adenosine, on the BPS, which initiates a nucleophilic attack at the intronic 5' splice site, thus starting the first of two transesterification reactions that mediate splicing. The record is from Ensembl.